UACGUAGGGGGCAAGCGUUGUCCGGAAUCAUUGGGCGUAAAGAGCGUGUAGGCGGCCCGGUAAGUCCGCUGUGAAAGUCCAGGGCUCAACCCUGGAAUGCCGGUGGAAACUGUCGGGCUAGAGUCCGGAAGAGGCGAGUGGAAUUCCUGGUGUAGCGGUGAAAUGCGCAUAUAUCAGGAAGAACACCAAUGGCGAAGGCAGCUCUCUGGGACGGUACUGACGCUGAGACGCGAAAGCGUGGGGAGCGAACAGG
This 253-nucleotide ribosomal RNA is filed under the name uncultured bacterium. RNAcentral's name for it is "partial 16S ribosomal RNA". It matches the Rfam family "Bacterial small subunit ribosomal RNA", at positions 524 to 776 of the family's 1533-position model. The record is from RNAcentral.